Molecule: ribosomal RNA, 501 nt
Filed under: uncultured bacterium
Lineage: Bacteria
Description: partial 16S ribosomal RNA
Rfam family: Bacterial small subunit ribosomal RNA
Source: RNAcentral
AUUGAACGCUGGCGGCAUGCCUUACACAUGCAAGUCGAACGGCAGCACGGGUGCUUGCACCUGGUGGCGAGUGGCGAACGGGUGAGUAAUACAUCGGAACGUACCUUGUCGUGGGGGAUAACGCAGCGAAAGCUGUGCUAAUACCGCAUACGCCCUGAGGGGGAAAGCGGGGGAUCGCAAGACCUCGCGCGAUUAGAGCGGCCGAUGCCUGAUUAGCUUGUUGGUGGGGUAAAAGCCCACCAAGGCGACGAUCAGUAGCUGGUCUGAGAGGACGAUCACCCACACUGGGACUGGGACACGGCCCACACCCCGACGGAAGGAAGCAGUGGGGAAUUUUGGAAAAGGGGGGAAACCCUGAUCCAGCAAUGCCGCGUGAGUGAAGAAGGCCUUCGGGUUGUAAAGCUCUUUUGUCAGGGAAGAAACACCGGCUCUAACACAGUCCGGGAAUGACGGUACCUGAAGAAUAAGCACCGGCUAACUACGUGCCAGCAGCCGCCGUAA